CAGUCGCCGCGGUAAUACGAACCGUGUGAACGUUAUUCGGAAUUACUGGGCUUAAAGCGCGUGUAGGCGGGCCGCCACGUCGGUUGCUGAAAUCCCCCGGCUCAACCGGGGAAGUGGCAUCGAUACGAGCGGCCUUGAGGGGGGUAGGGGGAUCUGGAACUUCCGGUGGAGCGGUGAAAUGCGUUGAGAUCGGAAGGAACGCCCGUGGCGAAAGCGAGGUCCUGGACCCUUUCUGACGCUGAGACGCGAAAGCCAGGGGAGCGAACGGGAUUAGAUACCCCUGUAGUCCCUGUCUCUUAUA
This 301-nucleotide ribosomal RNA is filed under the name uncultured bacterium. Its description in RNAcentral is "partial 16S ribosomal RNA". It matches the Rfam family "Bacterial small subunit ribosomal RNA", at positions 509 to 807 of the family's 1533-position model. The record is from RNAcentral.